This 334-nucleotide ribosomal RNA is filed under the name uncultured bacterium. Its description in RNAcentral is "bacterial SSU rRNA". It matches the Rfam family "Bacterial small subunit ribosomal RNA", at positions 28 to 353 of the family's 1533-position model. The record is from RNAcentral.
GACGAACGCUGGCGGCGUGCCUAACACAUGCAAGUCAGGGAGAAGGAGGUAGCAAUACUUCCGGAAACCGGCGCACGGGUGAGUAACACGUAGGUAAUUUACCCUUGGGCGGGGAAUAACCACGCGAAAGCGUGGCUAAUACCGCAUAAUGCAACGAGACCGCAUGGCCUUGUUGUUAAAGAUCCGCAAGGAUCACCUGAGGAUGGACCUGCGCCCGAUUGGCUAGUUGGCGGAGUAAACGCCCACCAAGGCGACAAUCGGUAGCCGACCUGAGAGGGUGAUCGGCCACACGUGGAACUGAGAUACCGGUCCAGACUCCGUACGGGAGGCAGCA